Long non-coding RNA from Hippopotamus amphibius kiboko, 567 nucleotides. RefSeq lists it as uncharacterized. The transcript is spliced from 4 exons. NCBI's taxonomy places the organism in Eukaryota, Metazoa, Chordata, Mammalia, Artiodactyla, Hippopotamidae. The record is from RefSeq and is a predicted model, not a curated record.
CGUGAGUACAACCGUAUGCUGACACCUGUGAAUCCUCUUAAAUUAUUGAAGUCGGGAAUGGUCUUGGGGACUCUCAAUGCAGGGAAAUCUUAAAACAUCACUGUUUUAGUCGCAUCGGAGGUGGACUCCUGUUAGGGGUACAGUACUAGGAUGAGAGUUCUGGUGGUUAGAAGCUUGAGAUCAAGAUGUCAGCAGGGUUGGUCUCUUCUAAGGACUGAGAGGAAGACUCUGUUCUAAGCUCUCCACUAGCUUAUGGUGAUUGUUGCAAAAUCUGAGGUUUCUCAGAAAAGAAGGAAUUCUGCCUCAAGAUUGUAACGUGGAAAUCCUGCCUGAGUUUCCAGCCUGCCCUUUGGACUUCAGACUUGCCAACACCCACAAUCAUUUUCAUGAAUGAAUGACGACAUCAUUUGAAACUGGCACCUGAUUGAGUCCAUCGAUUCCCUUCACUAACAGCACCAGCCCCCCUCCCCCGCCCCACCACAGCCAUUUACUUUCAAAAUAUCAUUGACGGCUGAGGAAAUCCACUGGAAAACUACCAAAAGGAAGUGUAUUUCACUAAAUGAAGUU